UUUCCGUAGGUGAACCUGCGGAAGGAUCAUUAAUGAGUUGUCAUGGGGUUCGAUGCUGGCAGCCAAUUUUUGGAUGCAUGUGCUUGCCCUAACAAUCAUCUUCCAAACACCUGUGCACAUUUUUGAGGGAGUCUUGAGUUGGUUGCCGCUCUUGGGUGAUUUUCUCACAUUCCUUUAAAUCAUUAUACGCUAUUAACAAUGUUGAACGUGCUCUGUGCCGCAAGGCUAUUAAUAUAAUACAACUUUUAACAACGGAUCUCUUGGCUCUC
RNAcentral lists this unclassified non-coding RNA (269 nucleotides) under plant metagenome. RNAcentral's name for it is "partial contains small subunit ribosomal RNA, internal transcribed spacer 1, and 5.8S ribosomal RNA". The record is from RNAcentral.